UUCAUGACAGACACACACACAGAGAGAGAGAGAGAGAGAGGCAGAGACACAGGCAGAGCGGAGAAGCAGGCUCCAUGCAGGGAGCCUGAAUCAGGCCCUACCUGGACUGAAGGCAGUGCUAAAUCGCUGAGCCACCCGGGCUGCCCUCUCUGAUUUUUGACACUUUGUGAUGCAUCUAAGUGCAAAUAUCUUCGCGUUUGAUUUGUUGUUGUUGUUUAGAGAGGAAUAUGGGGGCAGAAAGAGAGACAAUUUUUUAAAAAGAUUUUAUUUAUUCAUUCAUGAGAGACACAGAGAGAGAGGCAGAGACACAGGCAGAGGGAGAAGCAGGCUCCAUGCAGGAAGCCUGCUGUGGGACUUGAUCCUGGAACUCCAGGAUCAUGCCCUGAGCCAAAGGCAGAUGCUCGACUGCUGAGCCACCCAGGUGUCCUGAAGAGAGACAGUCUUAUCAGGCUCCAUGCCCAGUGCAGAGCCCAAUGGGGGUUCAAUCUCACAACCCUGAGAUCAUGACCUGAGCUGACAUCAAGAGUCAGAUGGUUAACCAACUGAGCCACCCAGGUGCCCCUCUUUGAGUUUUUAAUAUUAGAGACGUAUAAUUGACAUAUAACAUGUAUUUAGUUUCAGGUGUAUGACAUAAUCAUUCAAAUUUGUAUAUAUUACAGAAUGAUCAUCACAAUCAGUCUAGUUAACAUCCAUCACCAUACAGUUACAAUUUUUUUCUUGUGAUGAGAAAUUUUAAGAUCUACUCUCUUCACAUCUUUCAAAUAUGCAACACCAUAAUAUUAACUAUAGUUACCAUAUUGUACCUUAUAUCUGCAUAACUUAUUUAUUUUACAACUGGAGGUUUCUACAUUUUUAAAAAAGAUUUUAUUUUGUUUUAUUAUUUUUAAUUUUAUUUUUUUUAAGUAGGCUCCAUGCCCAAUGUGGAGCCCAGUGCAAGGCUUGAACUAAUGACCCUGAGAUCAAGACCUGAGCUGAGAUCAAGAGUCAGAUGCUUGGGGUGCCUGCGUGGCUCAGUCAACUCAGUGUCCAGCUCCUGAUUUCAGCUGGGAUCUUGAGUUCAAGCCAUCUGCAUCACCCUUACCCAUUUUACCACUCCCCUAAUCCCCACCUCUAGAGACUACCAAUCUUAGCUCAGUUUUGUUUUUGUUUUUAUUUUUUAGAUUCCACAUAUAAGUAAGAUCAUACAAUAUUUGUCAUUCUCUGACUUAUUUCACUUAGCAUAAUGUCCUCAGUCUACUUAUGUUGUCUCAAAUGGCAAGAUUUCUUCCUUAUUUAUGGCUGAAUAAUAUAAGAUUCUGGGGUGUGUGUGUGUGUGUGUGUGUGUGUGUGUGUCUGUGUGUAGCAUAUGUUUUUAAAAGUUAACUUACCUGUCAAUGUUUGCUUCCAUGUUUUGGCUAUGUUAAUAAUGCUGCAGUGAACAUUGAGGGUACAUAUACUUUUGAGUUAGUAUUUUAGUUUUCUUCAGAAAAAUGUCCUGAAGUGGAAUUACUGGAUCAUAUGGUAGUUCUAUUUUUAAUUCUUUAAGGAACCUCCAUACUGUUUACAUAGUGGCUGUACCAAUUUACAUUCUCACCAACAGUGCAUAGGGUUCCUUUCCUCCACAUUCUUCAACACUUAUUAUUUCUGGUCUUUUUGAUAAUCAUUCUAACAGGUAUGAGGUGAUACCUCAUUGGAGUUUUGAUUUGCAUUUUUCUGAUAGUUAGUGAUGUUGACACCUUUGCAUGUAUCUGUAUGUCUUUGAAAAACUAUCUGGUCUGAUCUGUCCAUUUUGUAAUCAGACUGCUUUGGGGUUUUUGCUACUGA
RNAcentral lists this long non-coding RNA (1803 nucleotides) under Canis lupus familiaris (dog). Its description in RNAcentral is "lncRNA (ENSCAFG00845010929.1)". Lineage: Eukaryota; Metazoa; Chordata; Mammalia; Carnivora; Canidae. The record is from RNAcentral.